AUGUAAAACAAAAAAAAAAAAAAAUCAAUAUUCAUCAUGUAAAAUGCAUACAACAUACACGAUGCAAUUCACUACAUAUUACAUUGUUUGAACUAAUUUGCUAAGAAUAUUACAAAACACAUAUAUUGCUUUAAUCAAACUCUAAUACACAACAAAUUGUUUGCAAAAAAUAAGAAAUUUUUCCGUCAAUUAGCUCUUCUUCCAACAAUCACAGGAUGGUGGUUUUGACAAGCUCUCUUGGCUGAAUUGGGAUCCUUAAACGUUACCUAAUUACAAACAUAAUGAA
This is a long non-coding RNA of Juglans microcarpa x Juglans regia, 286 nucleotides long. RefSeq lists it as uncharacterized. The transcript has 3 exons. The record is from RefSeq and is a predicted model, not a curated record. NCBI's taxonomy places the organism in Eukaryota, Viridiplantae, Streptophyta, Magnoliopsida, Fagales, Juglandaceae.